CUUGUGCAAACCAUUCACUCAAUCUUGUUAUUGUUGAUGGUGCACUGCCGUCCAUCAGUGCAACUUCUUUUUUUGGUGUUCUUUCAAGGUUAUAUACACUCUUUUCAUCGUCUCCUCCUCGAUUGGAAAUUUUAAAAUCAUGCACGGCAAUUUCUGUCAAACCACAAUCAGAUACCAGAUGGGAAAGUAGAAUAAACUGUGUUAAACCACUUCGCUAUUAUUUAAAAGAAAUCUUAGAGGCACUUGAAAGAUUGAAAGAACAUGCCUUAGAAAAGAGAGAUAGGGCAACAGCCACAGAAGUACGAUUGCUGACAGAAUAUAUUAGAACAUGGCCUUUCUUAUUAUCAAUCAUUAUUUGGUAUGACGUUUUAUUUCAAAUCAACAAAUCAAGUAAGCUGUUUCAGUCUCCUGCAGUAUCUCUCAACAUCUUAGCUUGUGAAAUAAAGGCAACAAAUUCAUUUCUUUAUGAGUAUCGUGAAAAUGGAUUUUCUGACGCAUGUAUUAAGGCGUCAGAAAUCGCAGAAUUAUUGGGCAUUGACAAUAGAGCGUUCACGAAAAAAAAAAUCAAUUUAUUCAUACGAGUGCGUUGAUCACACUCGGCAACCUGAAUAUCAGUAUAAAGCAGAUUUCUUUUUGCCACUAAUUGAUAUGUCAAUUGCAUUAGUAAAAGAGCGUUUUGAACAGAUCAGCAUUGUCACAAAGCUUUUUGACUUUCUUUACUGAUCCGAGAGUCUUAUCAAAGCUUGCAAUGAAAAUUCUCUGUCUGUAUAUUGCAAAAGUUUACAAAUAAAGCUUAAUGAUGUAGAUUCUGAGGAUUUAGAAAUGGAGUUAAAACGAUUUGCCAUUGUUAUAAAGGAGGAAAAAAAUGCUUUUCUAAAAUCUGGACAUGAUUUCCUAACUACAUCUACAAAGAAGAGUUGCAAGAAACUUAUCCUAAUCUAGUUAUUGCGUUACGAAUCAUUCUUACUUUACUAGUCACUGUUGCAAGUGCAGAACGUAGCUUCAGCAAGUUAAAACUAAUUAAAACAUUUCAUAGGUCAACAAUGGUCGAUGAACGUUUGUCUUCCUUAGCAAUGCUGUCGAUUGAAAACGAGGUUGCAAGAAAAUUAAAUAAUGAAGGCAUAAUAAAUGAGUUUGCAAGCAUGAAAACACAUCGCAAACCCUUUUUUUGAUAAUUUGCGACUUGUAUUAUCUGGAUAAUACAUUUACAUUAGUUAAAGAAACUCUAGACUAAUAAACUCUGUAUCAAUUUAACAAUUAUAAAAAAAUAUCUAAUUGAAUUAAAGCGUUAA
This is a non-coding RNA of Hydra vulgaris (swiftwater hydra), 1292 nucleotides long. The record is from RefSeq and is a predicted model, not a curated record. NCBI's taxonomy places the organism in Eukaryota, Metazoa, Cnidaria, Hydrozoa, Anthoathecata, Hydridae.